UUUUCCUCAGUCCCCAUGUCUACUUUUUCCCUUCCCAUGAGCUUCACAGAACGCUGAGUCUCAGACUGUGUGUGUCCCGGUUUUGUUUUUGUUUUUUUAAAGCCCCCUAGGAUGAGUGAUUUUCUUGGGUGGGAAAAGAAGGGUGUGGAAGCAGCAUAAAUCCAAGUGGUCAGAAACUGCAAACCAAGGCUGUGAGCAAACAGCGGGGAGAUCAGCCCAGCCUCAGCCCAGCCUAGCCCAGCCUGGCCUUAGGAACACCUCAACAGUCCCCAGGGAGAGGAGACAAAGGAGCGAUUCUUUUUCCACCCUGGGCUGGCUCCUUUUCAGAGGACAAGCUCCUGCUCUCUCUGCCUCUGAGAUAUCUUUUCUGCUCCCUCUCCCAGGCAUCAGACCAAGAAAAACAUGCUCACAGGAUUAGCCCCUAGGCACUUCUUCUGACCUGGCUCAAGAAAGGAAGGAGACCCGUUUGUUUGAGAAAUCAGGAACAAAGUGUCAGGUGGCUGUGAUUUAUGGCAGAAAUAGGAAGAAGAAAGUUGAAAUAGCAUCCCUACCCAAACAAUCCUGCCCUGGAAAGCAGGGGUCAAGAGGGUUUAUCAAAAGCCUGGAGCCCUUCCUGGUGGUACAUGCCUGUGAUCUUAGCACUCCAGAGGCUGAGGCAGGCAAAUGAGGAGUUGGAGGCCAGCCUGGGCCACAAGCCAGGUCCUGUAAAAUAAAACAAAUAACAGCUUUGUACAGGUAAGAUUUUCUGAUUUCCUGUGUGAAAUAGGAAGGAGAGAAGCUAAAGAGCUAUGGAGUUGGACUGGCGUUAGCUGUGUUCCUAGAGGUGGCUUGGUAUGCGUUUACAGGGCAAAGAGCAAACGCCAUUUUAAGAAAGAAAGAAAAAGAAGAAGGGAAAAGAGGAAAGCUGCCUGGUCAUGGAGUUUCUCUCCUUCCAACAAGAUCCCAGCCGCAUAUCCUAUAACUAUGGACAGUUAUCCUAUGGUAAUUACAAAGAUUCCUGUGCUCGUAAAGACUUGUCUGGUUUCCAGUCAUAAACUCUGUGUAAGGCCCCAGCCUCUGCUCCCCCUCCCUUCUUGCCUGCAAUGGCCAAGAGCAGAGCAGCACCAGGACUCCUCUAUCUGGGCCACCCUCCCCACAGCAAUGCAGCUUGCACAGCAAGGGUCAGCCACAGGGGAGAGACCCACACCCUGCCUAUCACUGACCCACAGUGAGGAUGUGUCUCUGGUGUCAACAAAGCUGUGUGCCCCCUGUGCUCUCUCAUCUAUUCUGGGACUGUUCCAGUGCUGUUUACCAAGGACAGGUCUUGAUCUAGCCAUGCAGGGGGAAGCUGGCUGGACCUUGUUAAGCUGGCUCCCAGUAGAAGAGUGAGUGCUCCCAUUAUACAUGCAGAUAUUUGUUCCCUCUCUCUGAGAGUGUAGUGACUUUCAGUGCUGUUAAUCUCUGGUUGUUUACAUGACAACAGUAUGGUGUUAUGAAGUCAGUCUCCCUCCUGGAAGGGAGUCCAUGCCAAGGAUGUCUUCUUGUACAUCGGUUUUAUUGACCAGUAGCUUUGACCAAUCCUGUUAACUGGUGUAUGUCUGCACAAACCCAUUUCAAAUAAAUGUCUGGCUAAAGCAGAAGA
RNAcentral lists this long non-coding RNA (1621 nucleotides) under Rattus norvegicus (Norway rat). Its description in RNAcentral is "long non-coding RNA NONRATT010971". Lineage: Eukaryota; Metazoa; Chordata; Mammalia; Rodentia; Muridae. The record is from RNAcentral.